This 477-nucleotide ribosomal RNA is filed under the name uncultured bacterium. Its description in RNAcentral is "partial 16S ribosomal RNA". It matches the Rfam family "Bacterial small subunit ribosomal RNA", at positions 29 to 507 of the family's 1533-position model. The record is from RNAcentral.
AUUGAACGCUGGCGGCAUGCCUUACACAUGCAAGUCGAACGGUAACAGGUUAAGCUGACGAGUGGCGAACGGGGGAGUAAUGUAUCGGAACGUGCCCUGUCGUGGGGGAUAACUGCUCGAAAGAGCAGCUAAUACCGCAUACGACCUGAGGGGGAAAGCGGGGGAUCGCAAGACCUCGCGCGAUUGGAGCGGCCGAGAUCGGAUUAGGUAGUUGGUGGGGUAAAGGCUCACCAAGCCGACGACUUGUAGCUGGUCUGAGAGGACGACCAGCCACACUGGGACUGGGACACGGCCCAGACUCCUACGGGAGGCAGCAGUGGGGAAUGUUGGACAAUGGGCGCAAGCCUGAUCCAGCCAUGCCGCGUGCGGGAAGAAGGCCUUCGGGUUGUAAACCGCUUUUGUCAGGGAAGAAAAGGUUCUGGCUAAUACCUGGGACUCAUGACGGUACCUGAAGAAUAAGCACCGGCUAACUACGUG